This is an unclassified non-coding RNA of Fukomys damarensis (Damara mole-rat), 330 nucleotides long. Its record names the gene 7SK. It matches the Rfam family "7SK RNA". From Rfam's summary of the family: 7SK was discovered as an abundant small nuclear RNA in the mid-70s but a possible function has only recently been suggested. Two independent studies have found that 7SK RNA binds the CDK9/cyclin T complex (known as elongation factor P-TEFb). P-TEFb activates transcription by phosphorylating the C-terminal domain of RNA polymerase II. NCBI's taxonomy places the organism in Eukaryota, Metazoa, Chordata, Mammalia, Rodentia, Bathyergidae. The record is from Ensembl.
AGAUGUGAGGGCCACCUGGCUGUGACAUCUAUCACUCUAUUGAUUUCCAGGGUUGACUGGCUGAUCUGACUGGCAAGGCUGGUGUCCCCCUCCUCCCGCACUGGUCCGUGUGUGUCCCUCCCAAGCCGUGUGCUCUGCGGAAGACAGUGACCACCCCUAUAGAGGAGGACCGUUUCCCUGAACAAGGAUGUAGGAGUAGCUACGCUCCCCUGCCAAAACCUCCCGGCAAGCUCUCAGUGUGGAUUUCACUCUUAGCUUGAGGAGCCACAGAAGGAUUUUAGGCCUGGAGCGACUUGAUCACUGCCUUAUGUAUGAGAAGAACCCCUCUAA